Molecule: long non-coding RNA, 2423 nt
Organism: Mustela lutreola (European mink)
Lineage: Eukaryota; Metazoa; Chordata; Mammalia; Carnivora; Mustelidae
Exons: 4
Source: RefSeq, a predicted model, not a curated record
AAGCGCUUGCAGGUGCCAGAGCGUCAGACCUGGAGGGGGAUGGUAUGGCUCUCCCCGCUACUCAGGUGUGGAAACUGCAGCUCAGAGAGAUUAGGCUCCCGUUCCGAGUAAAUGACGGGGUUGGGAUUCGGUUCCUCCUCCUCAUUAGGCUAAAGUCUGUGCUCUUUUGCCACCAAAGUUGGGAGUUGGUCGAGGAAAGCGUGAGCAGUGAUAAGUGGGCUAAGCGGUCGAGAGCAGGCUUCACGGACGACGACCGGAUCUGGAGACAAGUCCUGGGUCUGCUACUAACACUGUGACGCUCUCAAUAAGUCAUUUUCCCCAUCCCGAGACUUCGUUUCCUCGUCUGUAAAGUGGGAAUGAUAACAUGUUAUAGGAUCACAAUGAGAAAACUAUGGAUUUAGACCUACAAAAGGUCACAGAAUGUGUAAGCCACAAUGUCAAGCAUCAAAGCCAUGUUUGUCCUGCAACAAGGCUCAAACUCUUUGACCUCACUGCCCGUUGCGAGAGAAGCCACCUGGGAAGACACCAUCCAACUGACACACUUCAUUCAUUCAAUCAAUGAAUUUAGAUUUGGCCUUCACUGGGAACCGGCUCGGCAGUCACCCAACUGUUUAAACCAAGAACCUAGGUGCCAAUCUUGAUGUCAUCCUCUCUCCAGGGUCCCUUUAUCCAAUCUGAUUCAUCAACAAAUCCUGUCAAUCAUCUUCAGGUAGAUGCAGAAUGAAACAUCUAGAAUACUUCCCUACUCACCACAGCUGCACCACUACCAAGCUGAAGUCCCUCACACUCGCUGAAGGGUCUCCAAUCCAUCCUCUGCCCUCAAAGCCUGCGGUCCUCACUGCUAAUCUUGGAAAAACAUGCAUGACGAUUGGCUCAAUCUAGAGACCCUGAGAUCCUGACCUGAGCCGAAAUCUAGAGUCGGAUGCUUAACCAACUCAAUCACUAAGUAGCACUGCUCUCUCUCUCUCUCUCUUUUUUUUUUUUAAAUUUGACAGAGAGAGAGAUCACAAGUGGGCAGAGAGGCAGGCAGAGAGAGUGGGGGAAGCAGGCUCCUUGCUGAGCAGAAAGCCCGAUGCGGGGCUCGAUCCCAGGACCCUGAGAUCAUGACCUGAGCAGAACGCAGAGGCUUAACCCACUGAGCCACCCAGGCAUCCCUCUACUAUUUUUUAAUUGAAAAUUCUAUGGAGUUAAUUGCAGACUCACACACAGUCAUAAGAAAAUGUAUAUUUUUCCCAGCUUUCCCCAGUGGAAAUGGUUUGCAAAAUUAUAGUAUUAUAUCACAUCAGGAUUCUAACAUUGAUACAUCCUCCUCAUUUUUGUCGAACUUAUUUGUAUGUGUAUGACUUCUACUUUUUGCAACUCUGUAAGUCUAAAAUUAUUCCAAAAUAAAAAGUUAAAGGGGUGCCUGGCAGACUCAGAUAAAGGAGCGCACAGCUCUUGGUUUCGGGCUGUGAGUUCAAGGUCCCCCUUGGGGGAAGAGCUUGCUAAAAUAAAUAAACUUAAAACAAUAAUAAAAAGUUAAAGAAAAAAGGUAGCUGAUGAAACGCCACAGCAGGGGAACCUACAUCAGACUUCUUCAAUCCCCUUUCCAGACCCACCCUCUGCCACCCUUCCGCCACACAACAAAUCCAAAGUCUUGUCUUUUCUUUUAUCUUUUCUUUUUUUUUUUUUUUAAGAUUUUAUUUAUUUACUUGACAGGCAGCACAAACAGAAGGAGCGCGGCAGGCAGAGGCAGAGGGAGAAGAAGGUUCCCUGCUGAGCAGGGAGCCUGCCAUAGUGCUCAAUCCCAGGAUCCCGGCAUCAUGACCUGAGCUGAAGGCAGACGCUUAACUGACUGAGUCACCCCAGUGCCCUCUGAAGUCUUUUCAACCACAGCCUCUUUUCCUUCCUUUCUCUCACUCUCUUGCUGUGCUUAGCAUACUGGCCUUCUUGCUGUUUCUCAAAGCAGCCAAGUCCUUUCUCAUGGCAAGAUCUCUGUUAGUUACCCAAUCGAGAAUUAGCGCUGCCCUUGGAGAUUCACAAGGCUGCCUCCUUCUCGUCCUUCUUCCGCUGGAAUGUAACUCCCCUAACUUCCGAACACCUUCUGUCAUUCUCUACCGAGUUACAUUUCAUACCACUUCAUGGUUGUUUGAUGUUAUACAUUUGUUUACUAAAUGUAAGCUCCACAAGAGUAUGUACACCCAGAGAUUAAACAGUGCCUGAAACAUAGCAGCCUUUGACAAACAUUUGUGAGACGAGUAACGAGACUGAUGAUAUCUGCUCCGUUCUAUUUGAUUGAAUUUGGUUCGAAACAAAGGCUGUUUAGAAGUUGCUGAUGCAGGGUGCCUGGGUGGCUCAGUCUGUUAACUGUCUGCCUUUGGCUCAGGUUAUGAUCUGGGGGUUCUGGGAUGGAGCCUUGCAUAAGGUUCCCUGCUCAGCAGGGA